Molecule: long non-coding RNA, 356 nt
Filed under: Equus caballus (horse)
Lineage: Eukaryota; Metazoa; Chordata; Mammalia; Perissodactyla; Equidae
Description: lncRNA (ENSECAG00000028035.2)
Source: RNAcentral
GUGAAACGGCAGGAAACCUCUACAGCCAUCUCAGGGGAAGACCUCUGCUUCCAGGAACGAAGUCGCACAUUCACAGCUGCUUCCUGUUUUCAAACACCUUGCCCACCUUCUCACACCAAGCACGCAUUCUGCAAAAUGUGAGCCCACAGGAAGCUGCCUGCAAAUUCAGGGAGAUUUUCUGACUCUUAAAGAGGGCUUGAACAUACUUUCACAGAAAUGCCAGCAAACGCUGUAGUCAUUUGGGGAAGAACAGGUCUGGAAGGAAAAUACACGGCGGACCAGCACCGAGAGGGUCCCUCUGGUUACGGCGUGGAGAAUAGAUUUGCGGGGAAAGACCAGCACUGGGCAGACCAGGG